GGGGCAUUUUAUGCUCUGAUAAUAGGUAAUGAUGGGAAUGUAAAACCCUUCCAGAGUAACAAUUGGAGGAUAAAGUCUGGUGCCAGCAGCCGCGGUAAUUCCAGCUCCAAUAGUGUAUAUUAGAGUUGUUGCAGUUAAAAAGCUCGUAGUUGGAUUUCUGCUGUGGUCAUCCGGUACCGCCCGUAUGGGUGCGCACCUGGUUUGGCUCCGGCUUUCUUCCUGUAGCCGUCCGCGCUUAAUUGCGUGUACUGUGUUACGGAACUUUUACUUUGAGAAAAAUAGAGUGUUUCAAGCAGGCUUGUCGCCCUGAAUACUUCAGCAUGGAAUAAUAGGAUAGGACCUUGGUUCUAUUUUGUUGGUUUCUAGGACCAAGGUAAUGAUUAAUAGGGACAGUGGG
Molecule: ribosomal RNA, 397 nt
Filed under: Eimeria bovis
Lineage: Eukaryota; Apicomplexa; Conoidasida; Eucoccidiorida; Eimeriidae
Description: SSU rRNA
Rfam family: Eukaryotic small subunit ribosomal RNA
Source: RNAcentral